This 279-nucleotide ribosomal RNA is filed under the name Triticum aestivum (bread wheat). RNAcentral describes it as "partial small subunit ribosomal RNA". Lineage: Eukaryota; Viridiplantae; Streptophyta; Magnoliopsida; Poales; Poaceae. The record is from RNAcentral.
AUGUUGUACCAACUUCAUGUGGAUGCUGUGAAGCUUUACUACGAGAAUCAAGGAGAGAAGCUUGAUGACUCAAUGGCAUGUGCAAGAGAACUUGAAUAUGAGCAAUACCUCCAGAGUAGGAUACCAUGGUGCAAGGAAGUUGCAUGGCCUGGACUAUGUCGUUAUUGGACAUCAAAGGAAUACAAGGCCAAUAGGGGGAGGGGACGAGAAGCUCGCUUGAAAUCUGAGGAUAUUGCUCAAAACCGAGGAGGCUCACGACCUUUUGCGGAGGCACAAUAA